AGACAUCAUUUUAAAACUCAAUGCUCCAGUUCAUUAAGACCACAAGGAACCAAACCCAGCUUUAAGAUGCCGUUUUUACUUCUUUUUAUGAUGCUGUCAGCCUGUGCUGCAAGUCCACAGGAUCUGUCAGGAAAGAUGUUUACGUUUCCACAAGAAACCAACACAGCUAGAGUCAUGCUGAAUACAUCGGCAGAUAAUCUGAGUGCUGUAACAGUCUGCUUAAGGUAGUGUUACAAGAAAAAAAUUAUCAGGAAAUAUGAAGAAAAAUAAACAAUUGAUUGUAAUA
Cyprinodon variegatus (sheepshead minnow) is the source of this 286-nucleotide long non-coding RNA. RefSeq lists it as uncharacterized. The transcript has 3 exons. NCBI's taxonomy places the organism in Eukaryota, Metazoa, Chordata, Actinopteri, Cyprinodontiformes, Cyprinodontidae. The record is from RefSeq and is a predicted model, not a curated record.